GAUGAACGCUAGCGGGAGGCUUAACACAUGCAAGUCGAGGGGCAGCAUAGGGUAGCAAUACUCUGAUGGCGACCGGCAAACGGGUGAGUAACGCGUAUGCAACAUACCUUUAGCAGGGGGAUAGCCCGUGGAAACGCGGAUUAAUAUUCCAUAGUCCAGCAGUAUCGCAUGGUACCACUGGUAAAGAUUAAUCGGCUAAAGAUUGGCAUGCGUCUGAUUAGUUAGUUGGUAGGGUAACGGCCUACCAAGGCGACGAUCAGUAGGGGUUCUGAGAGGAUUACCCCCCACACUGGUACUGAGACACGGACCAGACUCCUACGGGAGGCAGCAGUGAGGAAUAUUGGUCAAUGGGCGGAAGCCUGAACCAGCCAUCCCGCGUGAAGGAAGACAGCCUUACGGGUUGUAAACUUCUUUUCUGUUUGAAGAAUAAGCCCGUUGAGACGGGUGAUGCCGGUAGGACAGGAAUAAGCAUCGGCUAACUCCGUG
RNAcentral lists this ribosomal RNA (486 nucleotides) under uncultured bacterium. RNAcentral describes it as "bacterial SSU rRNA". It matches the Rfam family "Bacterial small subunit ribosomal RNA", at positions 28 to 507 of the family's 1533-position model. The record is from RNAcentral.